UGGGGAAUCUUCCGCAAUGGGCGCAAGCCUGACGGAGCAAUGCCGCGUGAGUGAAGAAGGCCUUCGGGUUGUAAAACUCUGUCCUCAUCCAAGAGAAGGAAAGGUAGUAACUGACCUUUCCAGGACGGUAGAUGAGGAGGAAGCACCGGCUAACUAUGUGCCAGCAGCCGCGGUAAUACGUAUGGGGCGAGCGUUUGUCCGGAAUUAUUGGGCGUAAAGGGUACGUAGGCGGUCUAUUAAGUCAGGUGUGAAAGCGUGAGGCUUAACCUCAUUAAGCACUUGAAACUGAUAGACUUGAGUGAAGGAGAGGAAAGUGGAAUUCCUAGUGUAGCGGUGAAAUGCGUAGAUAUUAGGAGGAAUACCGGUGGCGAAGGCGACUUUCUGGACUUUUACUGACGCUCAGGUACGAAAGCGUGGGGAGCAAACAGG
This 429-nucleotide ribosomal RNA is filed under the name Verrucomicrobiota bacterium. Its description in RNAcentral is "Verrucomicrobia bacterium partial 16S ribosomal RNA". It matches the Rfam family "Bacterial small subunit ribosomal RNA", at positions 355 to 776 of the family's 1533-position model. The record is from RNAcentral. Lineage: Bacteria; Pseudomonadati; Verrucomicrobiota.